UACGGAGGGAGCUAGCGUUGUCCGGAUUUAUUGGGCGUAAAGAGCGUGUAGGCGGCCAGGUAGGUCCGGUGUGAAAACUCGAGGCUUAACCUCGAGAUGUCAUCGGAAACCAUCUGGCUAGAGUCCGGAAGAGGAAAGUGGAAUUCCUGGUGUAGCGGUGAAAUGCGCAGAUAUCAGGAAGAACACCAAUGGCGAAAGCAGCUUUCUGGGACGGUACUGACGCUGAGACGCGAAAGCGUGGGGAGCGAACAGG
RNAcentral lists this ribosomal RNA (253 nucleotides) under uncultured bacterium. RNAcentral describes it as "partial 16S ribosomal RNA". It matches the Rfam family "Bacterial small subunit ribosomal RNA", at positions 524 to 776 of the family's 1533-position model. The record is from RNAcentral.